AUUUUCUGCCACCGAAUACAUUAGCAUGGGAUAAUGGAAUAGGACCCUGUCCUCCUAUUUUCAGUUGGUUUUGGCAGCGCGAGGACUAGGGUAAUGAUUAAUAGGGAUAGUUGGGGGCAUUAAUAUUUAAUUGUCAGAGGUGAAAUUCUUGGAUUUAUGAAAGAUUAACUUCUGCGAAAGCAUCUGCCAAGGAUGUUUUCAUUAAUCAAGAACGAAAGUUAGGGGAUCGAAGACGAUCAGAUACCGUCGUAGUCUUAACCAUAAACGAUGCCGACCAGCGAUUAGGAGACGUUGAAUACAAAACACCACCAUCGGCGCGGUCGUCCUUGGCGUCGGUCCUUCACGGGGCCGGCGCGAGGGCGGCUUAGCCCGGUGGCACCGGUGAAUGACUCCC
This 394-nucleotide ribosomal RNA is filed under the name Acanthamoeba genotype T4. RNAcentral describes it as "SSU rRNA". It matches the Rfam family "Eukaryotic small subunit ribosomal RNA", at positions 784 to 1079 of the family's 1831-position model. The record is from RNAcentral. Lineage: Eukaryota; Discosea; Longamoebia; Acanthamoebidae.